RNAcentral lists this ribosomal RNA (2494 nucleotides) under Streptococcus pneumoniae. RNAcentral's name for it is "bacterial LSU rRNA". It matches the Rfam family "Bacterial large subunit ribosomal RNA", at positions 3 to 2498 of the family's 2925-position model. Lineage: Bacteria; Bacillati; Bacillota; Bacilli; Lactobacillales; Streptococcaceae. The record is from RNAcentral.
UUAAGUUAGAAAGGGCGCACGGUGGAUGCCUUGACACUAGGAGUCGAUGAAGGACGGGACUAACGCCGAUAUGCUUCGGGGAGCUGUAAGUAAGCUUUGAUCCGAAGAUUUCCGAAUGGGGAAACCCACCAUACGUAAUGGUAUGGUAUCCUUAUCUGAAUACAUAGGGUAAGGAAGACAGACCCAGGGAACUGAAACAUCUAAGUACCUGGAGGAAGAGAAAGCAAAUGCGAUUUCCUGAGUAGCGGCGAGCGAAACGGAACAUAGCCCAAACCAAGAGGCUUGCCUCUUGGGGUUGUAGGACAUUCUAUACGGAGUUACAAAGGAACGAGGUAGACGAAGCGACCUGGAAAGGUCCGUCGUAGAGGGUAACAACCCCGUAGUCGAAACUUCGUUCUCUCUUGAAUGUAUCCUGAGUACGGCGGAACACGUGAAAUUCCGUCGGAAUCUGGGAGGACCAUCUCCCAAGGCUAAAUACUCCCUAGUGAUCGAUAGUGAACCAGUACCGUGAGGGAAAGGUGAAAAGCACCCCGGAAGGGGAGUGAAAGAGAUCCUGAAACCGUGUGCCUACAAAUAGUCAGAGCCCGUUAACGGGUGAUGGCGUGCCUUUUGUAGAAUGAACCGGCGAGUUACGAUCCCGUGCGAGGUUAAGCUGAAGAGGCGGAGCCGCAGCGAAAGCGAGUCUGAAUAGGGCGUUUAGUACGUGGUCGUAGACCCGAAACCAGGUGAUCUACCCAUGUCCAGGGUGAAGUUCAGGUAACACUGAAUGGAGGCCCGAACCCACGCACGUUGAAAAGUGCGGGGAUGAGGUGUGGGUAGCGGAGAAAUUCCAAUCGAACCUGGAGAUAGCUGGUUCUCCCCGAAAUAGCUUUAGGGCUAGCCUUAAGUGUAAGAGUCUUGGAGGUAGAGCACUGAUUGGACUAGGGGUCCUCAUCGGAUUACCGAAUUCAGUCAAACUCCGAAUGCCAAUGACUUAUCCUUAGGAGUCAGACUGCGAGUGAUAAGAUCCGUAGUCAAAAGGGAAACAGCCCAGACCGCCAGCUAAGGUCCCAAAGUGUGUAUUAAGUGGAAAAGGAUGUGGAGUUGCUUAGACAACUAGGAUGUUGGCUUAGAAGCAGCCACCAUUUAAAGAGUGCGUAAUAGCUCACUAGUCGAGUGACUCUGCGCCGAAAAUGUACCGGGGCUAAAUACACCACCGAAGCUGCGGAUUGAUACCGAAUGGUAUCAGUGGUAGGGGAGCGUUCUAAGGACAGUGAAGUCAGACCGUAAGGACUGGUGGAGUGCUUAGAAGUGAGAAUGCCGGUAUGAGUAGCGAAAGACGGGUGAGAAUCCCGUCCACCGAAUGCCUAAGGUUUCCUGAGGAAGGCUCGUCCGCUCAGGGUUAGUCAGGACCUAAGCCGAGGCCGACAGGCGUAGGCGAUGGACAACAGGUUGAUAUUCCUGUACCACCUCUUUAUCGUUUGAGCAAUGGAGGGACGCAGAAGGAUAGAAGAAGCGUGCGAUUGGUUGUGCACGUCCAAGCAGUUAGGCUGAUAAGUAGGCAAAUCCGCUUAUCAUAAAGGCUGAGCUGUGAUGGGGAAGCUCCUUAUGGAGCGAAGUCUUUGAUUCCCCGCUGCCAAGAAAAGCUUCUAGCGAGAUAAAAGGUGCCUGUACCGCAAACCGACACAGGUAGGCGAGGAGAGAAUCCUAAGGUGUGCGAGAGAACUCUGGUUAAGGAACUCGGCAAAAUGACCCCGUAACUUCGGGAGAAGGGGUGCUUUCUUAACGGAAAGCCGCAGUGAAUAGGCCCAAGCGACUGUUUAGCAAAAACACAGCUCUCUGCGAAGCCGUAAGGCGAAGUAUAGGGGGUGACACCUGCCCGGUGCUGGAAGGUUAAGGAGAGGGGUUAGCGUAAGCGAAGCUCUGAACUGAAGCCCCAGUAAACGGCGGCCGUAACUAUAACGGUCCUAAGGUAGCGAAAUUCCUUGUCGGGUAAGUUCCGACCCGCACGAAAGGUGUAACGAUUUGGGCACUGUCUCAACCAGAGACUCGGUGAAAUUAUAGUACCUGUGAAGAUGCAGGUUACCCGCGACAGGACGGAAAGACCCCGUGGAGCUUUACUGUAGCCUGAUAUUGAAUUUUGGUACAGUUUGUACAGGAUAGGCGGGAGCCAUUGAAACCGGAGCGCUAGCUUCGGUGGAGGCGCUGGUGGGAUACCGCCCUGACUGUAUUGAAAUUCUAACCUACGGGUCUUAUCGACCCGGGAGACAGUGUCAGGUGGGCAGUUUGACUGGGGCGGUCGCCUCCUAAAGUGUAACGGAGGCGCCCAAAGGUUCCCUCAGAAUGGUUGGAAAUCAUUCGUAGAGUGCAAAGGCAUAAGGGAGCUUGACUGCGAGACCUACAAGUCGAGCAGGGACGAAAGUCGGGCUUAGUGAUCCGGUGGUUCCGCAUGGAAGGGCCAUCGCUCAACGGAUAAAAGCUACCCCGGGGAUAACAGGCUUAUCUCCCCCAAGAG